This 468-nucleotide ribosomal RNA is filed under the name uncultured bacterium. Its description in RNAcentral is "partial 16S ribosomal RNA". It matches the Rfam family "Bacterial small subunit ribosomal RNA", at positions 28 to 507 of the family's 1533-position model. The record is from RNAcentral.
GACGAACGCUGGCGGCGUGCUUAACACAUGCAAGUCGAACGGAAAGGCCCUGCUUUUGUGGGGUGCUCGAGUGGCGAACGGGUGAGUAACACGUGAGUAACCUGCCCUUGACUUUGGGAUAACUUCAGGAAACUGGGGCUAAUACCGGAUAGGAGCUCCUGCUGCAUGGUGGGGGUUGGAAAGUUUCGGCGGUUGGGGUUGGACUCGCGGCUUAUCAUCUUGUUGGUGGGGUAGUGGCUUACCAAGGCUUUGACGGGUAGCCGGCCUGAGAGGGUGACCGGCCACAUUGGGACUGAGAUACGGCCCAGACUCCUACGGGAGGCAGCAGUGGGGAAUAUUGCACAAUGGGCGGAAGCCUGAUGCAGCAACGCCGCGUGCGGGAUGACGGCCUUCGGGUUGUAAACCGCUUUCGCCUGUGACGAAGCGUGAGUGACGGUAAUGGGUAAAGAAGCACCGGCUAACUACGUG